GGUUAAGCGACUAAGCGUACACGGUGGAUGCCCUGGCAGUCAGAGGCGAUGAAGGACGUGCUAAUCUGCGAUAAGCGCCGGUAAGGUGAUAUGAACCGUUAUAACCGGCGAUUUCCGAAUGGGGAAACCCAGUGUGAUUCGUCACACUAUCAUUAACUGAAUCCAUAGGUUAAUGAGGCGAACCGGGGGAACUGAAACAUCUAAGUACCCCGA
This 213-nucleotide ribosomal RNA is filed under the name Salmonella enterica. RNAcentral describes it as "partial 23S ribosomal RNA". It matches the Rfam family "Bacterial large subunit ribosomal RNA", at positions 1 to 214 of the family's 2925-position model. The record is from RNAcentral. RNAcentral also lists the same sequence under 1 other name. Lineage: Bacteria; Pseudomonadati; Pseudomonadota; Gammaproteobacteria; Enterobacterales; Enterobacteriaceae.